Molecule: ribosomal RNA, 472 nt
Filed under: uncultured bacterium
Lineage: Bacteria
Description: bacterial SSU rRNA
Rfam family: Bacterial small subunit ribosomal RNA
Source: RNAcentral
AGAGUUUGAUCCUGGCUCAGGAUGAACGCUGGCGGCAGGCCUAACACAUGAAAGUCGAACGCUCUAGCAAUAGGGAGUGGCGCACGGGUGAGGAACGCGUGGGAACGUACCCUUUAGUACGGAAUAACAGUGGGAAACUGCUGCUAAUACCGUAUACGCCCUUCGGGGGAAAGAUUUAUCGCUAAAGGAUCGGCCCGCGUGAGAUUAGGUAGUUGGUGGGGUAAUGGCCUACCAAGCCUACGAUCUCUAGCUGGUCUGAGAGGAUGAUCAGCCACACUGGAACUGAGACACGGUCCAGACUCCUACGGGAGGCAGCAGUGAGGAAUAUUGGACAAUGGGCGAAAGCCUGAUCCAGCCAUGCCGCGUGAGUGAUGAAGGCCUUAGGGUUGUAAAGCUCUUUCGAUGGUGAAGAUAAUGACGGUAUCCAUAGAAGAAGCCCCGGCUAACUUCGUGCCAGCCGCCGCGGUAAUUC